Molecule: long non-coding RNA, 573 nt
Organism: Heterocephalus glaber (naked mole-rat)
Lineage: Eukaryota; Metazoa; Chordata; Mammalia; Rodentia; Bathyergidae
Source: Ensembl
CCAGGGUGUUUAUGACCUGUCCCUGGCUCCACACAGCUCUUGUCAAUUUCUUCUAUUUGUCACUCUGAACUGUCAUUUAUAGUGAUAAGAAAAGAACAGAAGGCUCAGUAGAGGCGAACACCGAGGGAUGUUAAAGACAUCUGAGGACUCCCUGUUUUGCAUUUUGAGGACUAUUUUGAUCUCUGCCAGUUCAAAGUGGCCAAGAGUAAUUAUCUCAGCUCCUAAAUACAUUCUCAUCUCUAUUCUCUGGAUAAUGACUGUCGACUCCAGGAGUCUGUAAGAUCCAUGAAUAUGUAUGCCCCGAACUGUAUGAUGAGGCCUCAAAACAGCAUCAGCAAAUCCACCUAUUCUUCUUGAGAGGAAAACGUGUCAGUGACCUCUCUGUGGAGUUCUACAAGAAGGUGGGACAAGUGGAGGGUUCCACAAAUUAUUAGCCAGGCUCCAUAGUGGCUGCACCAUUUUGCAAGGCCACCAUCAGUGCAUGAGAAAAUGCCUCAGCUUCACAUAAGGAUUCUAAGGCUCAGGAAGACUAAGUGACUUGCCCAGCUGGGGAUUUAGCUCAGUGGUUCUGUC